Molecule: ribosomal RNA, 253 nt
Filed under: uncultured bacterium
Lineage: Bacteria
Description: partial 16S ribosomal RNA
Rfam family: Bacterial small subunit ribosomal RNA
Source: RNAcentral
UACGAAGGGGGCUAGCGUUGUUCGGAAUCACUGGGCGUAAAGCGCACGUAGGCGGAUUGUUAAGUCGGGGGUGAAAUCCUGCGGCUCAACCUCAGAACUGCCUUCGAUACUGGCAAUCUCGAGUCCGGAAGAGGUUGGUGGAACAGCUAGUGUAGAGGUGAAAUUCGUAGAUAUUAGCUAGAACACCAGUGGCGAAGGCGGCCAACUGGUCCGGUACUGACGCUGAGGUGCGAAAGCGUGGGGAGCAAACAGG